Molecule: transfer RNA, 82 nt
Filed under: Trametes pubescens
Lineage: Eukaryota; Fungi; Basidiomycota; Agaricomycetes; Polyporales; Polyporaceae
Description: tRNA-Asp
Rfam family: tRNA
About the family: Transfer RNA (tRNA) molecules are approximately 80 nucleotides in length. Their secondary structure includes four short double-helical elements and three loops (D, anti-codon, and T loops).
Source: RNAcentral
UCUCUGUUAGUAUAUCGGUUAGUACACGCGCCUGUCAUCGACUUGGCCGCGCGAAAGCGGGGUUCGACUCCCCGACAGAGAG